Molecule: ribosomal RNA, 397 nt
Filed under: uncultured bacterium
Lineage: Bacteria
Description: partial 16S ribosomal RNA
Rfam family: Bacterial small subunit ribosomal RNA
Source: RNAcentral
AUACGUAGGUGACAAGCGUUAUCCGGAUUUACUGGGCGUAAAGGGCGUGUAGGCGGUCUUGCAAGUCAGAAGUGAAAUUCCUGAGCUCAACUCGGGCGCUGCUUCUGAACCUGCAGGACUUGAGUGCUGGAGGGGAUAGCGGAAUUCCUAGUUGAGCGGUAAAGAGCGCAGAUAUUAGGAAGAACAACGGUGGGGAAGGCGGCUAUCUGGACAGUAACUGACGUUGAGGCGCGAAAGCGUGGGGAACAAACAGGAUUAUAUACCCGGGUAGUCCACGCCGUAAACGAUGAAUACUAGGUGUAGGAGGUAUCGACUCCCUCUGUGCCGCAGUUAACACAAUAAGUAUUCCGCCUGGGGAGUACGGCCGCAAGGUUGAAACUCAAAUGAAUUGACGGGG